GAGGCCAAAAUUCUCUCUACCGAUUCCUAUUUUGAGUGUUAAUUUUCUCUUAUUCCAAGACUUAACAGCAAGAAGGAAGCUUCAGCUAUCGAUUUGAGGAAUUCCAGAUUCUUCUUUUUCUGAUUUAAGUGACCAUUUGUGGAGUAGGGAGCAAGGAAUCAAUCAGUCCUCUUCCAGAAGUCUUUGUUGAGUCUUAAGUUCCUAUUUUUUCAUGCUUCUUGUACAAGGAAAGCUUAGUUACCUUUUCUGUCUUGGUUUCUAAUUUUUUUCUAAAGUUUCUAUAUUCGUAACUUUCCGAUUUUGAGACAAGACCAAGCCUAUUAAAGGCCAUUGAUUGUAAGCUAUUGACACAAUUAAAUCAAUGAAAGUUUAUGCUGUUUGCUUGUAGUUACUAAUUAUAAGUUUCUAUUUUGCAGCAACUUACUGUUUUGGUAAUCCUUUGAUUUCUUCACAUCUGAUUCCUACUUGCUAAUUUUUUUUACUAAAUCUGGUCUCUCUUUUCUUGACUUACUAUUUUUCAGACUACUCCGUCUCUUCCAAUCUAACUAUUAGAUUAACAUAAGAUCUCACAGACUAUUCUACCUGACAAAUAGACCAUUCAACCAUAAUUUUAUGCAUAUCUGAGCUGUUCCUACUCCUGCGAUUCUGUCGCAAGUUGAUCUCUCGGACUUCAUUGGUUUGAGGGGGUGUCUGUGAGGGUUCAAAGGCCUACGGACUAUAAUCCUUCACUGGCAGCUGCUCUUGGACCUAGAGAUCCAAGCCCUCAUCUCAACCUAGCUGUUGUUGGUCUAACACCAGGUGCAAUCAGUGGAGCAGAGGACCUGAUAAUAUAUUCGUUGGCAGAUUACCAUACUAUUUUACGGAAGUUCAGAUAAGAGAACUGCUUGAGUCAUUUGGGCCUCUACGUGGAUUCAACCUUGUUAAGGAUAGAGACACUGGGAACUCAAAAGAUUAUGGUUUCUGCGUGUAUCAGUAGUGGGCAGGCAAAACCAGUUCAGGAAAUUAUAUUAGCAUAAGCGCAGCAGCAGCUUGCUAUUCUUAAAAUGGCCUUACAGGCUGGAGGUGCAAAUCUACCUGAAGUUGUGAUGGCACCAAGAGCUCUUGUGGAGACUCCAACAAAAGUAGUUUGCUUGACUAAGGUUGUAUCAACUGAUGAGCUGAGGGAUGAUGAAGAGUAUGAAGAAAUAUUGGAGGACAUGAGGGAAGAAGGCGGGAAGUUUGGUAUGUACUUUUUCAAUGGAUUGUUUCAAUUUUAUUCUAG
Molecule: long non-coding RNA, 1261 nt
Organism: Macadamia integrifolia
Lineage: Eukaryota; Viridiplantae; Streptophyta; Magnoliopsida; Proteales; Proteaceae
Exons: 7
Source: RefSeq, a predicted model, not a curated record